CGCGUGAGCAACCUGCCUUUCAGUGGGGGACAACAGUUGGAAACGACUGCUAAUACCGCAUAAUGCAUUUUGACCGCAUGAUCGAGAUGCCAAAGAUUUAUUGCUGAAAGAUGGGCUCGCGUCUGAUUAGAUAGUUGGUGAGGUAACGGCCCACCAAGUCGACGAUCAGUAGCCGGACUGAGAGGUUGAACGGCCACAUUGGGACUGAGAUACGGCCCAGACUCCUACGGGAGGCAGCAGUGGGGAAUAUUGGGCAAUGGGGGAAACCCUGACCCAGCAACGCCGCGUGAAGGAAGAAGGCUUUCGGGUUGUAAACUUCUUUUACCAGGGACGAAGAAAGUGACGGUACCUGGAGAAAAAGCCACGGCUAACUACGUGCCAGCAGCCGCGGUAAUACGUAGGUGGCAAGCGUUGUCCGGAUUUACUGGGUGUAAAGGGCGUGUAGGCGGGGAUGCAAGUCAGAUGUGAAAUCCCCGGGCUUAACCCGGGAACUGCAUUUGAAACUGUAUCCCUUGAGUAUCGGAGAGGCAGGCGGAAUUCCUAGUG
Molecule: ribosomal RNA, 546 nt
Filed under: uncultured bacterium
Lineage: Bacteria
Description: bacterial SSU rRNA
Rfam family: Bacterial small subunit ribosomal RNA
Source: RNAcentral